This 253-nucleotide ribosomal RNA is filed under the name uncultured bacterium. RNAcentral's name for it is "partial 16S ribosomal RNA". It matches the Rfam family "Bacterial small subunit ribosomal RNA", at positions 524 to 776 of the family's 1533-position model. The record is from RNAcentral.
UACGUAGGGGGCUAGCGUUGUCCGGAUUUAUUGGGCGUAAAGAGCGUGUAGGCGGCCAGGUAGGUCAGCUGUGAAAACUCGAGGCUCAACCUCGAGACGUCGGUUGAAACCAUCUGGCUAGAGUCCGGAAGAGGAGAGUGGAAUUCCUGGUGUAGCGGUGAAAUGCGCAGAUAUCAGGAAGAACACCCGUGGCGAAGGCGGCUUCCUGGACCGACACUGACGCUGAGGCGCGAAAGCUAGGGGAGCAAACGGG